Molecule: long non-coding RNA, 567 nt
Filed under: Homo sapiens (human)
Lineage: Eukaryota; Metazoa; Chordata; Mammalia; Primates; Hominidae
Description: HSALNT0307552
Source: RNAcentral
CUUCCUAUCACCCUGACCUUGAUGUAGACAGCCUUCUUGCCACAUUUAUUUUCCAGAACCAGGUCAUAAGUGCCAGAAUCACCCCUGUCUGCUUCUUUGAUCACAAGCUCAGUGUGUGUUUCAGAUGUUGCAAUCAUGGCACGCUUACUAAUAUCCUGGCCUUCCUUGGUCCAUUUACAUAUUGGGAAUGGUUUUCCUUUGAUUGGUAUGGUAAGUCUGAUGACGCCACCUUGCCUUACAAAGAUACCUUCUUGGUAUCUUUCAUCAAGUUCAUAAUCAGGAUAUUCUGGAAAAAAAGCAGGCUCACCAGGUCCACCAGCAUUACAAGCUAGGACGCGGAACCUGUAUUCUGCACCCUGAGAAUCAGAGGUGGGGAGAGUGGUGGAAGGGCCUGUGGACUUACGGAUGCUGCUGCGACACUCUAUGACCUCAGACUGCAAGUAAGAGCCAAUCCCGAAGCGGUUUGUUGCAGCCACACGGAACACAUACUCAUUUCCUUCGAAACACGGAAAUAGUACGGAACACCUUCGGCCAGGUCAUUGACCUUGAAGAUCUGACGAGUGCAUU